GAUGAACGCUGGCGGCGUGCCUAAUACAUGCAAGUCGAGCGAACGGACGAGAAGCUUGCUCUCCUGCUGUUAGCGGCGGAAGGGUGGGUAACACGUGGAUAACCUACCUAUAAGACUGGGAUGACUACGGGGAACCGGAGCUACUAACGGCUAAUAUUUUCAACCGCAUGGUUCAAAAGUGCAAGACACUCUUGCCGUCAGUUAUAGCUGGAUCCGCGCUGCAUUAUCUAGUUGGUAAGGUAACGGCUUACCAAAGCAACACUCCCUAGCUGACCUGAGAGGGUGAUCGUCCACACUGGAACUGAGACACCGUCCAGACUCCUACGGGAUGCAUCAGUGUUGCAUCUUGCACAAUGGUCAAAAGCCUUACGCACCAACGCCUCGUGAGCGAUGAAGGUCUUCUGAUCGUAAAACUCUGUUAUUAGGAAAUAAACUAUUUGUAAGAAACUGUCCACAUCUUAACGGUACCUAAUCAGAAAGCCACGGCUAACUACGUG
RNAcentral lists this ribosomal RNA (497 nucleotides) under uncultured bacterium. RNAcentral describes it as "partial 16S ribosomal RNA". It matches the Rfam family "Bacterial small subunit ribosomal RNA", at positions 28 to 507 of the family's 1533-position model. The record is from RNAcentral.